This 568-nucleotide ribosomal RNA is filed under the name uncultured bacterium. RNAcentral's name for it is "bacterial SSU rRNA". It matches the Rfam family "Bacterial small subunit ribosomal RNA", at positions 338 to 916 of the family's 1533-position model. The record is from RNAcentral.
CCUACGGGAGGCAGCAGUGGGGAAUAUUGCACAAUGGGCGCAAGCCUGAUGCAGCGACGCCGCGUGAGGGAUGACGGCCUUCGGGUUGUAAACCUCUUUCAGUAGGGAAGAAGCGAGAGUGACGGUACCUGCAGAAGAAGCGCCGGCUAACUACGUGCCAGCAGCCGCGGUAAUACGUAGGGCGCAAGCGUUAUCCGGAUUUAUUGGGCGUAAAGAGCUCGUAGGCGGUUUGUCGCGUCUGCCGUGAAAGUCCGAGGCUCAACCUCGGAUCUGCGGUGGGUACGGGCAGACUAGAGUGAUGUAGGGGAGACUGGAAUUCCUGGUGUAGCGGUGAAAUGCGCAGAUAUCAGGAGGAACACCGAUGGCGAAGGCAGGUCUCUGGGCAUUUACUGACGCUGAGGAGCGAAAGCAUGGGGAGCGAACAGGAUUAGAUACCCUGGUAGUCCAUGCCGUAAACGUUGGGCACUAGGUGUGGGGGACAUUCCACGUUUUCCGCGCCGUAGCUAACGCAUUAAGUGCCCCGCCUGGGGAGUACGGCCGCAAGGCUAAAACUCAAAGGAAUUGACGG